This 182-nucleotide non-coding RNA is filed under the name Gammaproteobacteria bacterium. RNAcentral's name for it is "6S RNA". It matches the Rfam family "6S / SsrS RNA". From Rfam's summary of the family: E. coli 6S RNA was the first non coding RNA to be sequenced, but its function was unknown until recently. It consists of 184 nucleotides that fold into an extended hairpin structure with a large single-stranded internal bulge. The record is from RNAcentral. Lineage: Bacteria; Pseudomonadati; Pseudomonadota; Gammaproteobacteria. RNAcentral also lists the same sequence under 1 other name.
CACCUUCUGCGGUGCGCGUUAGCAGUUUCGAUCUUCCUUGAGCCUAAUUAUUGUCCUCGGGGGUCGGCUUGCUGAGCUGGUGAGCAUGUCCGCCACGUGCGGAAAGCCUGAUGUUUGGCACUCACUCCCACCUGAACCUUUGGUUCAAGGGCAAUAACUGCGACGGUAUUCGCGGAAGGUGC